This is a long non-coding RNA of Oxyura jamaicensis (ruddy duck), 455 nucleotides long. RefSeq lists it as uncharacterized. The record is from RefSeq and is a predicted model, not a curated record. NCBI's taxonomy places the organism in Eukaryota, Metazoa, Chordata, Aves, Anseriformes, Anatidae. The transcript is spliced from 2 exons.
UGGCCCCAAAGCUGCCGAGAGCAACACGUUAGCAUUGGCCCAGGCUGCUUUUCCUGAGUCUUUUUAUUAUUAUUAAAAAAAAAAAAAAUAAAACACCACUCCUGUAAUACAAUAGUUACUGCUAUACUUGUUAAAAACUGAGCCCUUUUAAAGGACAAGAGAUUAGCAUUCCUGCCUUCCUGACACCCUAUCUCCAAAUCUUUUGCUGUUCGUUUUUACCACGUUCCAUAUAAACGCACAGAAAUCCUGCAGGUUAACAUUUGCUGUACUUUUCCCCACUUUUGGAAAUCUUUGAAGUUUUUGUUAAAAUACGGCUUACCUUUCAGUUUGAAGACAUCAAAUAUUGAUAUCAAUUUUCCAAAAUUCCAUUGAUGUGAAAUCUGCCUACAGGCUGAGAAAAGCUUACUUACAGGGGCCCUGGGACUCUGCUGCCGUUGCUCUUCUAUGUGGUAAAA